UGUGUGCUGGCUGAUGCCCUGAACGAGGCCGUAGGUUGUAGCAAUCUGGAUGAUGUUGUGAAGGGGUUUACGUGUUCUGUCGAUGAAAUAUCCCUUCCAAUCCGCUAAACUGUGUGGACUGCAAACUGUUUUAGUUGAACAGCUAAGCGAUUCCGAUGUGUCGAAAGACUAUCUCAAAACGUAAUCACGACAGUCAUAAACGGACAGGGCAAAUUCUUUAUGCAGCUAUUGAGACUGGUGUGCUGGAAUAUGUCAUGAAAGAAGCCGUAAGUUUUGGGUAUCUGGGCAAUGUUGUGAAGGGGGAUUUAUAUGUUGGUGUGAUGGGUGAUGGCUGAUGUCCUGAAAGAGGCCAUAGGAUGCGGAGAACUGACUGAUGUUGUGACGGGGGCUAUAGAUGCAGGAUGUCCAUGUCCACACGUUCUGCCACAGAAUACGAAUGCAGCACGUGUUCUAUUGCUGAACGUCUGUGAUCUGUUGUAGAACGCGUGUGUUCUCUCCUGGGAGAAGCCCAUGCACAUUAGCAGAGAUUAUGUGCUGAAUUUUGUUCGACAAAUUUAAAUUCGACCAUCAUAUUUGUGUUUUCUGAAUAUUUAUUUUUGAGAAGAAGAGAGGCUGGUAGAUUGGUAUGUCAAACAGAAAAUGUGUAUAAGAAGGGUUAUAUUUUGAGUUUGAUGAAUAAUAAAUAGUUUAUAAACAUGGCAUAUACUUUGUGUUAAUAAUAACCCAUAUGUAGCCUGACUAAACACAACAAGAAACAUUACUGAAAUACAGCUCGAUCAUUGCUAAUACAUGGAAAUCACUUACUUGCAUUACGGGACAUUUACGUGUAUCAGAACACUGGCAUUCUGAUGGCUAAUUAUAGCUGGAUCUUUUAUGGGUGCUAUGGAACAUAUACGGUCUGUUUGCUGUAUUUGGCGCUACAAUUUCCAAUGAUCUGAGGUGUGUCUGUGGUAAGUAUCCAUCUAGGAAUACUUUUGUUUCAUAUUCGAUACUUACCUAAAAUUGUGUAAUAUUUCGGCGAUAUAUUCAUAUGCUGAUCGCAUGCGAAGUAAAACCGGCAACUUACGAAACGCAUAGCAGACGACAUAUUACUCGCCAUUUUGACCGUCAUUUCUGCCAUUGUUCCACACGCAUGAUUCACAAAUUAUGAGAUGAAAUUCCAAUCCAAAUUGCAAUUGUGACUAUUUGAACGUUUCCGUUUAUUUGAAUGAUGUUCAAAUAUAAUGAAUGUAUAUUUCAGGUUCUAUAUGAAACGCCUGAAAGUGCGAAGCGGGCUACAUGCAACAAAUUUCUGAACAUCUAAAUUUGGGAUCCGAGGGCAUGAUCAGCAUGCAUCGACAAUGCAUCGAAUUCAGCAGAGUAGGGGUGCAUUGCAGAUAAUCAGUACCAUCCAUGGAAAUUAUUGCACAAGGCACACGCCUAGGCUAAGGAGGAAGAGAAACAAGGUUUUGCAGAUCACUUGUGUAUAUUUGUGUCUAAUCUUUAUCCAAGAUGUUGCGGAGUCAUAUUUGACUUGAACUUUCCUGAAGUAUGCAAUGGUCAUGUCGCUGUCACGAACAUCGUCCUUGGGGAUAUAUACCCACAAAAAACAUCUGCGAAGUACAUGCGCUUCUUGAAAGACUUGAAACUUAAGUUAUCUUAAGUAUGGAAGUAUGCUUCAAUUUGCUUCUCGACAGUUUGUAAUGUUUCGUGAAGAACUAUGACUCAUAUAUUAAAGUGACUUGAAUAUCCAUGAUCAUCACAAAUAAAUAUAAUAAAGAAUUCAUGGUUGCAGUUCAGAAUUUCGUCCGUGUGA
Haliotis rufescens (red abalone) is the source of this 1795-nucleotide long non-coding RNA. RefSeq lists it as uncharacterized. The transcript is spliced from 3 exons. NCBI's taxonomy places the organism in Eukaryota, Metazoa, Mollusca, Gastropoda, Lepetellida, Haliotidae. The record is from RefSeq and is a predicted model, not a curated record.